Molecule: ribosomal RNA, 366 nt
Filed under: Triticum aestivum (bread wheat)
Lineage: Eukaryota; Viridiplantae; Streptophyta; Magnoliopsida; Poales; Poaceae
Description: partial small subunit ribosomal RNA
Source: RNAcentral
AUGGCUUCAUCGAGCAGGAUGCUGGUGGCGGCGGUGAUGGCCGCCCUGGUGGCCGUGGCGUGGUGCGCGCCGCCGCCGGUGAGCUUCACGGUGGAGAAGGGGUCCGACAAGACGCAUCUGGCGCUGCAGAUCAAGUACGACAAGGCCGGCGACAGCAUGAAGGAGGUGGAGCUGAAGCAGAAAGAGGACUGGCUGCCCCUGAAGAAGGGCUACAGCGGCGCGUGGGAGAUCAAGAGCGACAAGCCCCUCGAGGGCCCCUACAGCUUCCGCUAUGAGACCGAGAAGGGCCAGCGCAACGUCUUCGACGACGUCAUCCCCACAGAUUUCAAGUGCGGCUCCACCUACAAGCCAGAGGCGACCUACUGA